GCGGAUGAAGGGAGCUUGCUCUCUGAUUCAGCGGCGGACGGGUGAGUAAUGCCUAGGAAUCUGCCUGGUAGUGGGGGACAACGUUUCGAAAGGAACGCUAAUACCGCAUACGUCCUACGGGAGAAAGCAGGGGACCUUCGGGCCUUGCGCUAUCAGAUGAGCCUAGGUCGGAUUAGCUAGUUGGUGAGGUAAUGGCUCACCAAGGCGACGAUCCGUAACUGGUCUGAGAGGAUGAUCAGUCACACUGGAACUGAGACACGGUCCAGACUCCUACGGGAGGCAGCAGUGGGGAAUAUUGGACAAUGGGCGAAAGCCUGAUCCAGCCAUGCCGCGUGUGUGAAGAAGGUCUUCGGAUUGUAAAGCACUUUAAGUUGGGAGGAAGGGUUGUAGAUUAAUACUCUGCAAUUUUGACGUUACCGACAGAAUAAGCACCGGCUAACUCUGUGCCAGCAGCCGCGGUAAUACAGAGGGUGCAAGCGUUAAUCGGAAUUACUGGGCGUAAAGCGCGCGUAGGUGGUUUGUUAAGUUGGAUGUGAAAGCCCCGGGCUCAACCUGGGAACUGCAUUCAAAACUGACAAGCUAGAGUAUGGUAGAGGGUGGUGGAAUUUCCUGUGUAGCGGUGAAAUGCGUAGAUAUAGGAAGGAACACCAGUGGCGAAGGCGACCACCUGGACUGAUACUGACACUGAGGUG
This 692-nucleotide ribosomal RNA is filed under the name Pseudomonas fluorescens. RNAcentral's name for it is "bacterial SSU rRNA". It matches the Rfam family "Bacterial small subunit ribosomal RNA", at positions 66 to 753 of the family's 1533-position model. The record is from RNAcentral. Lineage: Bacteria; Pseudomonadati; Pseudomonadota; Gammaproteobacteria; Pseudomonadales; Pseudomonadaceae.